CAGCAGCCACGGUAACACGUAGGUGGCAAGCGUUGUCCGGAAUUGUUGGGCGUAAAGCGCGCGCAGGCGGCCUAUCCAGUCUGUCUUAAAAGUUCGGGGCUCAACCCCGUGAUGGGAUGGAAACUAGUAGGCUAGAGUAUCGGAGAGGAAAGCGGAAUUCCUAGUGUAGCGGUGAAAUGCGUAGAUAUUAGGAAGAACACCAGUGGCGAAGGCGGCUUUCUGGACGAAAACUGACGCUGAGGCGCGAAAGCCAGGGGAGCGAACGGGAUUAGAUACCCCAGUAGUCCCUGUCUCUUAUACA
Molecule: ribosomal RNA, 301 nt
Filed under: uncultured bacterium
Lineage: Bacteria
Description: partial 16S ribosomal RNA
Rfam family: Bacterial small subunit ribosomal RNA
Source: RNAcentral